AGUGGCGCACGGGUGCGUAACACGUAUGCAACCUACCUUUAACUGGUACAUAACAUUUCGAAAGGGGUGCUAAUAUACCAUGUGAUUAUUGAGAGGCAUCUUUUGAUAAUUAAAGAUUAAUUGGUUAAAGCUGGGCAUGCGUCCCAUUAGCUAGUUGGAGAGGUAACGGCUCCCCAAGGCGGCGAUGGGUAGGGGUUCUGAGAGGAUGAUCCCCCACACUGGUACUGAGACACGGACCAGACUCCUACGGGAGGCAGCAGUAAGGAAUAUUGGUCAAUGGGCGGAAGCCUGAACCAGCCAUGCCGCGUGCAGGAAGACGGCCCUAUGGGUUGUAAACUGCUUUUGUCAGGGGAUAAACCUAUCUACGAGUAGAUAGCUGAAGGUACCUGAAGAAUAAGGAUCGGCUAACUCCGUGCCAGCAGCCGCGGUAAUACGGAGGAUCCGAGCGUUAUCCGGAUUUAUUGGGUUUAAAGGGUGCGCAGGCGGACUGGUAAGUCAGGGGUGAAAAUCUACGGCUCAACUGUAGACGUGCCUUUGAUACUGCCGGACUAGAGUUAAGAUGGAGUGGGCGGAAUGUGUUGUGUAGCGGUGAAAUGCUUAGAUAUAACACAGAACACCGAUCGCGAAGGCAGCUCACUAAACUUUGACUGACGCUCAUGCACGAAAGCGUGGGGAUCAAACAGGAUUAGAUACCCUGGUAGUCCACGCU
This 709-nucleotide ribosomal RNA is filed under the name uncultured bacterium. Its description in RNAcentral is "bacterial SSU rRNA". It matches the Rfam family "Bacterial small subunit ribosomal RNA", at positions 94 to 801 of the family's 1533-position model. The record is from RNAcentral.